AUUCAUUUAUUACAAACUUUGUGAGUUUGAAUGAAAUAUUUUUAUUCAGAAAUCAGAAUGUAUAAUUUGUUCUAUUUUUGAAUAGUGUAAUAUCAGACAGUGUCUAUGUUUUUUUUUAACUUGUAAUGAAAUUGUUAGUUUGUUUAUGAGGGUAAAUUUGUAUAAUUGUUGUUGUUGUUGAAGUGGUUCUAUAUACAUGUAUGAAGCAAAAAUAUGAAUAUGAAGUAGAUUUUAAAAAUAACAUUUAAUGCUAAAAAAGAAUAUGUUGACAGCUUGAUGACAAAAAAGUGUGACCUAUUAAAAAUGUCUGUAAACUGAAAUAAGAGAAUAUUUGUUCUAAUACCCAUUUUAAAGUGACAUUUUGCCCAUCUAAGUGAAAAUGGUCCGUGGACAGGUAAAAGAUCCACUUACUUGACAUUCUGCCAUAUAUUGCAUUUAAUUUUAUAUUUUACCCAGAAAAAAAAUCCAUGUGCCAAAUGGAAAUUUCUAGAAAUAACCUUCAGAAUAUAGCGGUAAUGUUCAAUUAUAAAAAAGAAUGGGGCAGUAGUUGUUCUGAAAUUAUUCCUAAAAAUGAUGUCCAAUAAUGAUUUGUCCAGAUUGAAAGAGAUGGACUAUUCCAUUUAUGAUGUUUAACAGGGAAAUAUAUGUACAUAUGUUUUGAUAAGUAUUAGCAGUAAGUUAUUUAGAUGAUAACAAAGUGAAAUACUUACUUUGUAUUUUAAUUAUUUGACAAUAGUAAAGGAAAAAGAGGUAAAACUUUCAGUAUUAGUAAAAUAAGUUGAACAUGGUAUAUGAGGACAUUUGAGUGUUUGAUGCAUGUAGUAAGGUUUAUUAUGCCUUAACUAUGAUAUAUGGCAUAUAGUGUUUUCCUUGUCUGUGUGUAUUUAUGUGUAUAUGUGUUAACACAUCAUCCCCAAUUCAUACUUAGUCACAAUAUAUUUUGUUAUUUCUUGACAGAAAUUUUAAUCGUUAGAGACAAUUUGUCAUUUCCAAGGUCAAUAUUUGUUGUUUGUUUUUCCAAGGUCAAUUGUCGUUUUUCCAAGGUCAAUUGUCGUUUUUCCAAGGUCAAGGUUAUACGCAGAGAAACAAGGUCAAAAUCUCUGUCUAUUUUUGUGUCUGACAAAGGCUGAUAUAUAAUUUUGUCAUUUCUAAACAACUUAAGACAUCUCGAUAGAAAUUUCAAAUAUCAUGAGUCAAUGUUUCACCCACAAGGCUCAGGUCUUUAGGUCUAAGGUCAAGGUCUUAAGAUGUCAAAACUAUGACCUAUUGUCACAUGACGUCCAACUCACAAUUAUAAUACAAGUGUUUUCAUGUCAUAUAGUUGGGGAGGAAACAUCCUUGUUGUAUGGAUGCACUUUUAGUUACAUGUAUUAAUAUAGCACAGUAUAGGAUACAGUACGUUUGAUACGUACACUAUUAAGAAAUGUAAAACAUUUGUUACUAGAGCAUUUUUUCAUUAUACAUGCUAAUUAUCAGUUUUUGGAUAUAAUAAAAAAGUGAAAGUAG
This is a long non-coding RNA of Ruditapes philippinarum (Manila clam), 1506 nucleotides long. RefSeq lists it as uncharacterized. The transcript has 2 exons. NCBI's taxonomy places the organism in Eukaryota, Metazoa, Mollusca, Bivalvia, Venerida, Veneridae. The record is from RefSeq and is a predicted model, not a curated record.